RNAcentral lists this unclassified non-coding RNA (373 nucleotides) under uncultured bacterium. RNAcentral's name for it is "contains 16S-23S intergenic spacer region". The record is from RNAcentral.
UCCUGGUUAACCCAGGCAGUCUCGUUAGAGUUCCCACCUAAAAUGUUGGCAACUAACGAUAAGGGUUGCGCUCGUUGCGGGACUUAACCCAACACCUCACGGCACGAGCUGACGACAGCCAUGCAGCACCUGUGCAGCAGUCCCGAAGGAAAGCACCAUCUCUGGUGCGGUCUACUGCAUGUCAAGCCUGGGUAAGGUUCUUCGCGUUGCGUCGAAUUAAACCACAUGCACCACCGCUUGUGCGGGCCCCCGUCAAUUCCUUUGAGUUCCAACCUUGCGGCCGUACUCCCCAGGCGGGAUACUUACUCCGUUAGGUGCGGCACCGGCGGUAACCCGCCGACACUUAGUAUCCAUCGUUUAGGGCGUGGACUAC